AGAGUUUGAUUAUGGCUCAGGGUGAACGCUGGCGGCGUGCCUAACACAUGCAAGUCGAACGGAGUUACGAGAGCUUGCUUUUGUAACUUAGUGGCGGACGGGUGAGUAAUGUAUGAGCAACCUGCCUUUCAGAGGGGGACAACAGUUGGAAACGACUGCUAAUACCGCAUAAUGUAUUUUGAGGGCAUCCUCGGGAUACCAAAGGAGCAAUCCGCUGAAAGAUGGGCUCAUAUCUGAUUAGCUAGUUGGUGGGGUAACGGCUCACCAAGGCUGCGAUCAGUAGCCGGACUGAGAGGUUGAACGGCCACAUUGGGACUGAGAUACGGCCCAGACUCCUACGGGAGGCAGCAGUGGGGAAUAUUGGGCAAUGGGCGAAAAAGCCUGACCCAGCAACGCCGCGUGAAGGAAGAAGGUCUUCGGAUUGUAAACUUCUUUUAUGAGGGACGAAGGACGUGACGGUACCUCAUGAAUAAGCCACGGCUAACUACGUGCCAGCCGCCGC
This 502-nucleotide ribosomal RNA is filed under the name uncultured bacterium. RNAcentral describes it as "bacterial SSU rRNA". It matches the Rfam family "Bacterial small subunit ribosomal RNA", at positions 8 to 518 of the family's 1533-position model. The record is from RNAcentral.